Molecule: ribosomal RNA, 253 nt
Filed under: uncultured bacterium
Lineage: Bacteria
Description: partial 16S ribosomal RNA
Rfam family: Bacterial small subunit ribosomal RNA
Source: RNAcentral
UACGUAGGUGGCAAGCGUUGUCCGGAUUUACUGGGCGUAAAGAGCGCGCAGGCGGUCGUUCAAGUCGCGUGUGAAAGCCCCCGGCUCAACUGGGGAGGGUCACGCGAUACUGCGCGGCUCGAGACAGGUAGGGGAGAUCGGAAUUCCUGGUGUAGCGGUGAAAUGCGCAGAUAUCAGGAGGAACACCGGUGGCGAAGGCGGAUCUCUGGGCCUGUUCUGACGCUGAGGCGCGAAAGCUAGGGGAGCGAACAGG